Long non-coding RNA from Mesocricetus auratus (golden hamster), 629 nucleotides. RefSeq lists it as uncharacterized. NCBI's taxonomy places the organism in Eukaryota, Metazoa, Chordata, Mammalia, Rodentia, Cricetidae. The transcript is spliced from 3 exons. The record is from RefSeq and is a predicted model, not a curated record.
UGAAUGCUUACACCUUUACCUUCAUUAGCGAUGUCAGGAAGCCAGCGUGGCUAGCUGGGCCAGACUGCAGGAAAGAGGCUAUGAAGUUCUUCUGUUUACUGACAGAGAAACGUGUCCUAGAGAGGCGAUGAAGUGGAGAAGCGGGUAACACUCCCCCAGAGAUGAGGUCAUGGAAUUACAAUGUUGAGAGAGGGUUCCCAGGGGCCCCUCAAAAGUGAGCAGUGGCAAUUUCUGUUGAAAGAUUUUGAGAGGCUUCCAUUUUCUUCAGCUUUUCUAAAUUUCCUCACUGGUACUGCCUGGUGUUCUGGUGGGUCGCCCUGUCUUAUAGAGAGGUCCAUAAAGAUGACCAAGUAAUGGGAGCAUCAUGUCCGGGGGAAGGAAAGAACAUUAUCUGUUCAGAGAAGGACGACUAUCUCUGGCCUCAGCACCAACAGUGCAGGAAGACAGCAGCAUCUCCCUUCCAACAGUGGGACAACUGCAUGUCCUGUAAUGUGAGCCUGAGUGCGCCUUGCUGAGGAGAGCUCUUGACACAUGAAGCAGUCCAAGGCUGACAUCUUCUGCUGCCAUGGAGACGAGCUAAGAGACACUGUUCUAUCUUCAAGCAGAGUUCAAAGGAACUAGGACUCACA